GAGGUGGCUGGAGGGAGAGGAGGAGAAAGGAAGGAAUCAGAUGGAAAUGAUUUUCAGGUUCCCAUUGGCAAAAAACCAGUUCUUUUUAAAAGAACCACAAGCAAAUCCAUGGUAAAAAAAAACCCAGGUUAAGGGGGAUUUACACUGCCCCCCCAAAUCGGGUUAGAAAACCCUAGUGCAAGUGUGAACAACCCCGAUUUGGGUCAUGAAACACUGGCGCAAGUAUGAACGACUCUCAUUUAAAUCAGAUUGGAGCCCAGGUUAAAAUGCAGUGUGAAUGGACCCUUUGUUAGUUUUGGCCCAGCUCUCUAAUCUGUUCAAGUCAUUUUGAAUUCUGAUCCUGUCUGGAUUGUUUUAAAUCUUCCUAAAUAUUCACAUGUUUUUUUCCUCAUAGAUUUCUACGCUAGUUACCAGUUUGGGCCAGAAUCCGAUUGAAAGUUUUGGUUCUGGUAUUUUAGGCUCUGUGCUCUGAUCUCCCCUGUACCUGGCAGCUCAGCUAGCAUGGUGAUAUUUUGUUGGAUGGGAUCUGCAUCUACCUGUGUCAAUUUAAGCAUGCUGGAGUAGUUGUACUAGAAAGACACCGGAAAAGAAGCAGUAAGAAAAUAUUUCCAAUACGGUGACACAAGGGCACUCACAGUAUGAACGUUGGAACUAGCAGGAAUGAUUAACUUUCAGAUCCUGGGGGACAACUCAUCUGUUCAAACACCUCACCUUCUCCUCAACCAAGAAUGCAUACGAUGACAAUCAGCUCCCAGAAUCUCCCAAAUUCCAGUUCUUGCGGGUAUCACCCUAAUUCGUCUUGCCUUUAAAAGAAAGUAUCAUCAUGCAAAAAUUAAGUAAUGAUUACGGGAAAACACCAUACGAAUUGCUGGGAAAGAAACAGGAACAAGCCAGCAACACAAACAUUCUAAUAGAAAGCUGGAGGAUGUCCACAGAACUCCACCCAUCCAAGCAGAAAUAGGAAAAAAAAUAUCUGCUGGGUCACACUGGACAAGAAAUACAGCAUUUGCUAAAAAUAAAUGCCUUCAGUUUGAAAAGCCACACCACUUCAGUGUUUUGGAUUUGUUAAAAAGUUCUAAAAUGAAAACACUGACAACUGAUACCACUGUUCAAAAUACUUCUCCUACAUUCGGUUGGAAAUAUUUUUUUAACAAGUCCCUAUAAGGAUGGUCACAAUGAUACCAGUCUUGUUUCAAGAAUGGGAGCAGAAAGGCUGCAGCAGAGAGGCAGUGGUUUACCCAAGGCAUCUUCAAGACUUGACUUGAAUUAUUUUGAAAUGGUUUAGAGCAGAAGGGAAAUUAAAAUAGGAGUAAUGCACUACUUUUCUAAGAUGGUGGGACUGCAUGCUCCUGUGAGGCAAGAGGCUUUGCUGACAGUAGCAGUGCUGCUAGCAGGGACUCCUACAUCAGAUAGGAGUUUGCUGGGGAGCCAGGUUAAAAAUGCCAAACAGCUAUUGGUGCAGAUUGCUACUGCUAUUUUUUCUAUGUUAUUUCUUCCUCCAGAACCAAAUUUUCUGGAACUUCAAUUUGCAUCCCACUUGAUCUAACCUACGAAUUUUGGAACCGUGCCAUCAUUUGUGGAAUACAUUUGUGAAAAAUCAUAUAUGAAAUACUAUUAGUGAGAGACAUGAUUUUACCCACCCUGCCAAGUCCUUUAAGCAUUAAGAGCAAUGUAAGAGAGUCCUAAUAAUUCUUGCUCUUUCUUUUUCAUGCAUUCAAGCAGCUGUGUAUACUGUACAUAAAUGUAGUGUUGUCCCUUAGCUAUGAAGAUUAAAGUAGAGAAUUA
This is a long non-coding RNA of Sceloporus undulatus (fence lizard), 1785 nucleotides long. RefSeq lists it as uncharacterized. Lineage: Eukaryota; Metazoa; Chordata; Lepidosauria; Squamata; Phrynosomatidae. The transcript is spliced from 4 exons. The record is from RefSeq and is a predicted model, not a curated record.